GGGGAUGAUCGGCUUCGACGGGGAAGGCUGGUCCUAGACUGCAAGCCGAGCACGCUUUACACCUCGUAAAACUGGAAGCAAAACAAUAAGUGGCGAACAAACCGCUUCUUACAACGCACUCCCGAUGGCUGCAUAGUAGCCGUUAGAGUGUAGAUGGUUCCUUAAUCAGAACCCCGUCCGCUUUAUUUCUUUCGUCGGCUGAAUAAAGUUGGGCGACAUGAUCGUCGACGUGCUGCUCCUCGAUGCUGCUAGAGGAGAGUAAGCGGCUCUUUCGGGAGUCAGUGGCCCGCUGAUGGCUGACCCUGUUGGCCGGGGUGCCCAUCAGCUAAACGCUAAAAUUGGCUGACUAAGCUUGUAGACGUUUAGAGGCUGAAUUUUUCGGACGCGGGUUCAAUUCCCGCCAUCUCCACCU
Molecule: transfer-messenger RNA, 412 nt
Filed under: Anaerolineales bacterium
Lineage: Bacteria; Bacillati; Chloroflexota; Anaerolineae; Anaerolineales
Rfam family: transfer-messenger RNA
About the family: Bacterial tmRNA, also known as 10Sa RNA or SsrA, is named for its dual tRNA and mRNA-like properties. Its role is to liberate the mRNA from a stalled ribosome.
Source: RNAcentral